This 372-nucleotide ribosomal RNA is filed under the name uncultured organism. Its description in RNAcentral is "partial 16S ribosomal RNA". It matches the Rfam family "Bacterial small subunit ribosomal RNA", at positions 527 to 896 of the family's 1533-position model. The record is from RNAcentral.
GUAGGUGGCAAGCGUUGUCCGGAAUUAUUGGGCGUAAAGCGCGCGCAGGCGGUUCUUUAAGUCUGAUGUGAAAGCCCACGGCUCAACCGUGGAGGGUCAUUGGAAACUGGAGAACUUGAGUACAGAAGAGGAAAGCGGAAUUCCACGUGUAGCGGUGAAAUGCGUAGAGAUGUGGAGGAACACCAGAGGCGAAGGCGGCUUUCUGGUCUGUAACUGACGCUGAGGCGCGAAAGCGUGGGGGAGCAAACAGGAUUAGAUACCCUGGUAGUCCACGCCGUAAACGAUGAGUGCUAAGUGUUAGGGGGUUUCCGCCCCGUUAGUGCUGCAGCCAACGCAUUAAGCACUCCGCCUGGGAGUACGGCCGCAAGGCUG